Long non-coding RNA from Bufo gargarizans (Asiatic toad), 328 nucleotides. RefSeq lists it as uncharacterized. The record is from RefSeq and is a predicted model, not a curated record. The transcript has 3 exons. NCBI's taxonomy places the organism in Eukaryota, Metazoa, Chordata, Amphibia, Anura, Bufonidae.
CCCACCCCCCGGAGCCAUGUAGCCAAUCCCGUCUACACGUGUGGCCCGGUCAGGUUUCAGCUGCAUGACGUGUAAACUGGGCGCUUCUCCUUUUCGGUCUCCAGGUGAUGACGUCCGGUCUCCUCUUGACGACGUCAGGCAGGAAGCUAUGAACCAAUUUAUCCUUCAAAUUUUGUCCCCUCCUGUACGUCACACUGGGAUAUGAUGACAGAACAGAUCUCAGUUCAUCAUCGCUGGAUUUCAAGGCUCUUCUGUAAUCUCACUUCCUGAUUUUUGAAAUCAGGGUGCUGUUCGAAGGUAAGUAUCUCCUUCACCUCCUGAUUCAGUU